RNAcentral lists this long non-coding RNA (251 nucleotides) under Elaeis guineensis (African oil palm). RNAcentral describes it as "long non-coding RNA (EGUI_LNC020495)". Lineage: Eukaryota; Viridiplantae; Streptophyta; Magnoliopsida; Arecales; Arecaceae. The record is from RNAcentral.
UAUGAUCAUCCAUAUUAUAUUUUAAUUUUUAAAAUCCAUCACAUAGAUUAUCCCGAUUGAGGUUUUACUGAAUUGAAAUACACUGAUACAUUAACUCCUACUUAUUUAGAGGGGUCAAUUUCAUCUUGACUCACACACCGACUUCUCAAAUACUUGACUAUGCCCAGAGACCUUUCAUUACUGAAUUAAAAAUUUUGAUAGUCCGGCUCCAAAGAAUAGUAAGUUGCUUGCAAGUCACCAUGAUGGUCUCA